Molecule: non-coding RNA, 3164 nt
Organism: Phascolarctos cinereus (koala)
Lineage: Eukaryota; Metazoa; Chordata; Mammalia; Diprotodontia; Phascolarctidae
Source: RefSeq, a predicted model, not a curated record
AAUGUUUUCAGCUCUGUUAUAUGAGAAGCCUCAGGGGAUAUGCUGGCUGCCUUCAAGGACUAUGGAAGAGGGACUAGAUCUACUCUGCUUGGCUCCUGAGAGACCUGGAAAAGUCAAUGGCUGAGCCCAAAGGAGUUAGUCACUAACCAUGGAAUCUCAGGAUUGAAGAAGUCAUGAGAAUAAGAGAUUCAGGAUUAUCUCAUAGACAACACAUCCGAGUUCGGCUGUUGUGCACCCCAGUCUUCAUUUAGCGGCUCACAUGUGAAUCACAGGAGAAGCUGCCUAUAUAGCCACGGAGGAAGGGGGCAAGAGGGGAAGCGGAAUAAGGGAAUGGUGGAAGGAAUAAAGUCAAGAGCAGGAUUCUCCUUUACUCUCAGCCCUCUGCAACCAAGCUCUCAGAUGGAACAGAUUACACAGGAACAACGGAUCACUUCUUAUUGCAAAGAGGAUGUGUAAACGCACAGUUACAGGUCAGUGGCUCCAUCCACUCAGUUCUCUGGGUCAGGGUUGGGAACAAGUUCCUUGCUGAGUGCUUGGCAGACAAGGCAAAGCAGUACAGCUGGGAAAUCUCCACCAAGGCUUACUUGUUGCCCACAAGCCAACAAACAGGAAUGUUAGAACAGCAACAGAAUAUGAGAGUAGAUAGUUCAAUAUUCUCUGAGGUCCCUGUGGGAUUCCAUGUAGCAGCCUGUUUAACACACCACAAUUCAGACCUAAUAUGUCUAUGGAAAACAUUUAAAAAUAUCUUUUAAAAAGCUUUGAGUUGUUUGUCAUUCACUGAAUUUGUCUGGCUCAAGGCUUGGAACAGCUGCUAUCCAGAGAGCAGAGCAGUCAUUCUACUAUUUCUUCCUACAUUGUCACCUUGAUGUCUCAGCUGUGACAAAUGCCUCUGUUGCUUCUCCCUGCCCAGGGCUCCACAUGGGGAAGAGAAGGUUUCUGCAAAGUGGUAUGUUAUUUAAGAAAUGAGUUUCAGGUGCCUGAAGCCCAGCUGAGCACAUGAGUCUGCCUUCUGAAAAUGGCAAAAGCAAACCUAGAAGUUCCUAUCUGCAAAUCCAAAGAAGCCUGGGACUUCAUAUCACCUCUGUGAAUCCAAAGAACCAAAGAGCAGGGGGAAGAGAAGGUCACCUGGGGAAAGCUUAGGAAAAGAAUGACUGGGGUGUGCAAAACAGGUCAGCAAUCUUGGGAUCCAGGGAAGCAUUAAGGGAGGUGAGCAAUGUGGGAUCCCCAGGCUAGCUGCGCAGGUUGAAUCUCUGGCUGCAAGAUGAGAUCUGGGUUUAAACUUCAGUCCGAUUUUUAUUUGGGGAGAAUAAAGGAGGCAGAUUUGAGAACAUUCUAGCAGCUCAGGAACAAAUGGGGAAUGUGGAUUGGGAAUGUCGAUUCCCAUAGAGAGUUAGUCUUCUGUACCCUACCAGAAGUCAUGCCAUUUUUACUGUAAGGUGCCUGUGGCCUAAGCCUGCAGAGAAAGCAUGGGAACUUUGGCCAGAUAGAACAGGGAGCCCACUGCUUGGGACUGACAUGUAGCAUGUAUGGGAUCAGGUAAUUACAGCUGAGAAUUGGCUCCUUUCAUUAGCCCUCUGCCUAACUGCAAAGUCAUGAAAUGAUUAAAUUAUCCUGAAGCAAACCUUUUGACCUUUCCCCCACCUAAACAUUACUUGAAAGGUAAAAAAGACCAUCUCUUUUCUUUUCUUUUUGGUGGUGGUUAAAAAAAGAAUCCUUAAAUAGAACAGUAUGAAAAUAUAACUUAAAUUAUAAAAGUCAUAUAGGAUAGAGAAGACUUUAAAAAAAAUCUAUGUGUUGCCUAUCAAUUCCAUAGGUACCUUGUAGGAAACAAAGACGGGGACUUAACAACAUCAACACGGUUAAGGCUCAUAACCAUAAAACGAUCCUGGGUUCUAGAAAUUAACUGUUGCAAAAGCCACUUUUUAGUAAGAAACCACACUGGCUCCAACUUGAUCAGUCUUGAUUACUUUUUCCUCCAAAAGUGACACAUCUCGUCAUUCCCCAUAGAACUGAAAGGAGACAGCUGCAGAGUGUGAAUGUGUGUGUGUGUGUGUGUGUGUGUGUGUGUGUGUGUGUCUGUGCUAUGCAAGCACACACACAUAUGCUCAUCCUCUUCGGCAGCUCUGUCAAGUCAGACAAAGACCGGUGUGGUGUUGGUCCCUGACAACACUGGAUACGCCGGAUGGAUGGAGAAAACCCAAACCAAACCUCUGUUGCAUAUUCGGCUUCAGGUUGGUAAGUCUUCGAAGGUCUUCAUCUGCAUCUGAGUCUUCCAUCUCGUCAUCAGCAGACAUCAGAAUCUGGAACAGAAAUGGAAAGGCACGGUCACUGAGUCACACAAACAAGACUGGGGUGGCCAUGUUUUGGCCCUACUCACCCCGUGUCCUUGAUGCCCAAGGAGGUGCAGGAUUGAGCCUCCUUGGAAGAGAGGGUCAGGGAGGGCCCAGCCCUAUACCCAAGAGCACAUUUCCUAAGGGCACACAUGAUCAGCUACAACAUUCUGACCCUCUAAAAAAAAGCACUAGGUUGGAGUCACGUGAUCUAGAUUUCAACUCUGACUCUACUACUUGCCUGGAAGACCCUGAACCUUGAACCUCUGGGUCUCAGUUUCUUCAUCUGUACUAAAAUGAGGGAUUUGGACUAUGAUCUGAAUCCUAUCCUUUCUUGGCUAUCUUGGGUGUAUACCCCCUUACUCCCACACUAACUCAGCCUGAAAAAAAAAAUCCAAUUAGACAAGCCCCAGAAAAUUACUAACCAAUAUCAUUUUGGUAGGCAGGCCCAGCCUUGAAUUCCAAGCAUUCCUCUGAACCCAAGAACCACAAACAUACCUUGCAGAGUAGAUGACCCAAAGCAGCUGGAGGGGAAAACCCAGGGGAUAGGGAGAAUUUCUUGGGGUUUGUGCUAUUGAAAUCAAGAGAGGCAGUGCAGCCCAGUGUGCAGAAAACUAGAAUCAGAGGUUCAAGCCCCACUGCUGACACUCGUGGUACCCCGACACUAGAGGACAGCUGUAGAUCUUUCUGCAUUGGUCAAGGGUUCCUUACUGAGGAAGCCACAGGUCCAGAUCACUCCUCAAAUAAGAAGUGAUACAUAUCUAAGGCAGGACACCACUAAGGGCUUCUCUGGUUUAUAUUCUGAAUAGAAAUAAAUAUUUAGGCAAACCACAA